AAGUCGUAACAAGGUUUCCGUAGGUGAACCUGCGGAAGGAUCAUUAACACUAAUUAAAAAAAGUAAGAAGCUAUGAGGAUUUUCCUGCAGACUUUAUCGUUUGCAGAAGCUUCCUUUUUGCUCUUACUCCAAAUCUACCCAAAAUUAUUGAAAGUGCUGGUUGAUUUUUUCUGUUUCUUCAAACAAACGAAAAAAUCACUCAUUUCUUUUCUUUAUCAUAUCAACAACCCCAAAUCUUUUUUUGCUAAUGCAAAUGACAAUUACUAAAAACAAAAAUAACUACUUUAACGUAACCAAACAACUCUUAGCAACGGAUAUCUUGGCUCUC
This 328-nucleotide unclassified non-coding RNA is filed under the name fungal sp. Its description in RNAcentral is "partial internal transcribed spacer region". The stretch from base 1 to 46 matches the Rfam family "Eukaryotic small subunit ribosomal RNA", at positions 1786 to 1831 of the family's 1831-position model. The record is from RNAcentral. Lineage: Eukaryota; Fungi.